This 369-nucleotide ribosomal RNA is filed under the name Paenibacillus turicensis. Its description in RNAcentral is "bacterial SSU rRNA". It matches the Rfam family "Bacterial small subunit ribosomal RNA", at positions 383 to 745 of the family's 1533-position model. The record is from RNAcentral. Lineage: Bacteria; Bacillati; Bacillota; Bacilli; Caryophanales; Paenibacillaceae.
CUGACGGAGCAACGCCGCGUGAGUGAUGAAGGUUUUCGGAUCGUAAAGCUCUGUUGCCAGGGAAGAACGCCUAGGAGAGUAACUGCUCYUAGGGUGACGGUACCUGAGAAGAAAGCCCCGGCUAACUACGUGCCAGCAGCCGCGGUAAUACGUAGGGGGCGAGCGUUGUCCGGAAUUAUUGGGCGUAAAGCGCGCGCAGGCGGCAAUGUAAGUUGGGUGUUUAAACCUAGGGCUCAACCUUGGGUCGCAUCCAAAACUGCAUAGCUUGAGUACAGAAGAGGAAAGUGGAAUUCCNCGUGUANCGGUGAAAUGCGUAGAGAUGUGGAGGAACACCAGUGGCGAAGGCNACUUUCUGGGCUGUNACUGACG